This 1811-nucleotide small RNA is filed under the name Pongo abelii (Sumatran orangutan). RNAcentral's name for it is "processed transcript". The record is from RNAcentral. Lineage: Eukaryota; Metazoa; Chordata; Mammalia; Primates; Hominidae.
UUAGUAGGACAGCCUUAGGGGGAGAUGGUAGGGAAAACACCAUUUAUGCGGGGCUUUGUACAUUUCCACCACGCUGCUUACUCUCUUUUGCCCCCUGGUGGAAUUCUGCUGCCUCUGCCUCGUCCUAGCUGGGCCACUUGGCUUGAUUUUCUUAUUCUUAAAGUGGCAGUAGGAACUAGACUUCAUAGGGUUGCUGUGAAGAUUAAAUAAGAGGAUGUGUGUGAAUGGGCUUUGUAAAGCCAGAAAACAUAGGCGUUUGUGUUGUGGAGAAAAGCAGUGGGGAGACUGGAGGCCUCACUUGGCUGUGAUUCUGUCGAAUCAGGCUGGGGACCCAGAGCUGUAUCAGCGUGCGAUUGUUGCCAUCGGGGACACCCUGGCUGGGAAGGGGCUUGUGGAGGCAGCCCACUUCUGCUACCUCAUGGCUCACGUGCCCUUUGGCCACUACCCCGUGAAGACAGACCAUCUGGUCUUGCUGGGCAGCAGCCACAGUCAAGAGUUUUUGAAAUUUGCAACAACUGAGGCAAUCCAGAGGACGGAAAUCUUCGAGUACUGUCAGAUGCUGGGCCGCCCCAAAUCCUUCAUCCCUUCUUUCCAGGUGUAUAAGCUCCUUUAUGCUUCCCGUCUGGCGGAUUACGGCCUCGUGUCCCAGGCCUUGCAUUACUGCGAAGCCAUUGGUGCGGCUGUCUUGAGCCAGGGAGAGAGCAGUCAUCCUGUGCUAUUAGUGGAACUCAUCAAGCUAGCAGAGAAACUGAAGCUGUCAGAUCCUCUGGUUUUAGAAAGACGCAGUGGAGACAGGGACCUGGAGCCAGAUUGGCUAGUGCAACUUCGGAGGCAGCUGGAGCAAAAGGUAGCAGGAGACAUUGGGGAUCCUCAUCCUACUCGCUCAGAUAUUUCGGGAGCCAGAGGAACAACAACAGAAAACACUUUCUACCAGGACUUUUCUGGAUGUCAAGGCUACUCUGAAGCCCCUGGGUACCGCUCAGCUCUGUGGCUGACACCUGAGCAGACCUGCCUGCUCCAGCCCAGCCCACAGCAGCCCUUCCCCCUCCAGCCUGGCUCCUACCCAGCAGGAGGGGGUGCAGGGCAGACAGGGACACCGAGGCCUUUUUACUCAGUUCCUGAGACCCACCUACCAGGGACUGGCAGCAGUGUGACAGUGACAGAGGCCCCUGGAGGAACAGUCUGGGAGGAAACGCUGCAGACACACCUGGGCCCUGGAGAGAACACAGUGUCUCAAGAAACUUCCCAGCCUCCUGAUGGCCAAGAGGUCAUUUCCAAACCACAGACACCACUGGCUGCUAGAGCACGAAGUAUUUCUGAGAGUUCCACCAAUUCAGCCAAGGAGGAUGAGAAGGAGUCCUUUGACGAGGCUGAUAAAAACUCUUCCCGAAAUACUGCCCGGAGAGGCAAGCUCGGAGAUGGGAAGGAGCACACAAAGAGCUCAGGUUUUGGCUGGUUCAGCUGGUUUCGAUCGAAGCCCACCAAGAACACAUCCCCCUCUGGAGACGAGGACUCCUCAGACAGCCCUGACUCUGAGGUGGGGGUGAAGGCCGAGGAUCCGCAUCCAGCGGGGGAGCAGCUGCGGGUGCUGGGGUUGGAGGCUUGUCUGGACCUGAGAGUGUUUCCUUUGAGCUCUGCUCCAACCCUGGUGUUCUUCUUCCUCCACCUGCCUUAAAAGGGGCUGUUCCUCUUUACAACCCAUCUCAGGUGCCUCAGCUGCCCAUGGCCACUAGCCUGAAUCGGCCAAAUCGCCUAGCUCAGCGUCGCUAUCCCACCCAGCCAUGCUGAGAAUAAACACACAUCCCAGGCUC